UUAAGCGACUAAGCGUACACGGUGGAUGCCCUGGCAGUCAGAGGCGAUGAAGGGCGUGCUAAUCUGCGAUAAGCGCCGGUAAGGUGAUAUGACCCGUUAUAACCGGCGAUACCCGAAUGGGGAAACCCAGUGUGAUUCGUCACACUAUCAUUAACUGAAUCCAUAGGUUAAUGAGGCGAACCGGGGGAACUGAAACAUCUAAGUACCCCGAGGAAAAGAAAUCAACCGAGAUUCCCCCAGUAGCGGCGAGCGAACGGGGAGGAGCCCAGAGCCUGAAUCAGCAUGUGUGUUAGUGGAAGCGUCUGGAAAGGCGCGCGAUACAGGGUGACAGCCCCGUACACAAAAGCGCAUGUGCUGUGAGCUCGAUGAGUAGGGCGGGACACGUGGUAUCCUGUCUGAAUAUGGGGGGACCAUCCUCCAAGGCUAAAUACUCCUGACUGACCGAUAGUGAACCAGUACCGUGAGGGAAAGGCGAAAAGAACCCCGGCGAGGGGAGUGAAAAAGAACCUGAAACCGUGUACGUACAAGCAGUGGGAGCACCCUUCGGGGUGUGACUGCGUACCUUUUGUAUAAUGGGUCAGCGACUUAUAUUCUGUAGCAAGGUUAACCGUAUAGGGGAGCCGGAGGGAAACCGAGUCUUAACCGGGCGUUAAGUUGCAGGGUAUAGACCCGAAACCCGGUGAUCUAGCCAUGGGCAGGUUGAAGGUUGGGUAACACUAACUGGAGGACCGAACCGACUAAUGUUGAAAAAUUAGCGGAUGACCUGUGGCUGGGGGUGAAAGGCCAAUCAAACCGGGAGAUAGCUGGUUCUCCCCGAAAGCUAUUUAGGUAGCGCCUCGUGAAUUCAUCUCCGGGGGUAGAGCACUGUUUCGGCUAGGGGGCCAUCCCGGCUUACCAACCCGAUGCAAACUGCGAAUACCGGAGAAUGUUAUCACGGGAGACACACGGCGGGUGCUAACGUCCGUCGUGAAGAGGGAAACAACCCAGACCGCCAGCUAAGGUCCCAAAGUCAUGGUUAAGUGGGAAACGAUGUGGGAAGGCCCAGACAGCCAGGAUGUUGGCUUAGAAGCAGCCAUCAUUUAAAGAAAGCGUAAUAGCUCACUGGUCGAGUCGGCCUGCGCGGAAGAUGUAACGGGGCUAAACCAUGCACCGAAGCUGCGGCAGCGAACGUAUCACCCAAGACAACUUUACGGAGUUGACGAUUGACGGAGCGAAGCGACGUCAAAGCGUUCAUUAAAGUCGAGUUGGCUUAGGGAUACGUUCGUUGGGUAGGGGAGCGUUCUGUAAGCCUGUGAAGGUGUGUCGUGAGGCAUGCUGGAGGUAUCAGAAGUGCGAAUGCUGACAUAAGUAACGAUAAAGCGGGUGAAAAGCCCGCUCGCCGGAAGACCAAGGGUUCCUGUCCAACGUUAAUCGGGGCAGGGUGAGUCGACCCCUAAGGCGAGGCCGAAAGGCGUAGUCGAUGGGAAACGGGUUAAUAUUCCCGUACUUGGUGUUACUGCGAAGGGGGGACGGAGAAGGCUAUGUUGGCCGGGCGACGGUUGUCCCGGUUUAAGCGUGUAGGUGUGUGUUCCAGGUAAAUCCGGUUCACUUUAACACUGAGGCGUGACGACGAGGCACUACGGUGCUGAAGCAACAAAUGCCCUGCUUCCAGGAAAAGCCUCUAAGCAUCAGGUAACACGAAAUCGUACCCCAAACCGACACAGGUGGUCAGGUAGAGAAUACCAAGGCGCUUGAGAGAACUCGGGUGAAGGAACUAGGCAAAAUGGUGCCGUAACUUCGGGAGAAGGCACGCUGACACGUAGGUGAAGUGAUUUACUCAUGGAGCUGAAGUCAGUCGAAGAUACCAGCUGGCUGCAACUGUUUAUUAAAAACACAGCACUGUGCAAACACGAAAGUGGACGUAUACGGUGUGACGCCUGCCCGGUGCCGGAAGGUUAAUUGAUGGGGUCAGCGCAAGCGAAGCUCCUGAUCGAAGCCCCGGUAAACGGCGGCCGUAACUAUAACGGUCCUAAGGUAGCGAAAUUCCUUGUCGGGUAAGUUCCGACCUGCACGAAUGGCGUAAUGAUGGCCAGGCUGUCUCCACCCGAGACUCAGUGAAAUUGAACUCGCUGUGAAGAUGCAGUGUACCCGCGGCAAGACGGAAAGACCCCGUGAACCUUUACUAUAGCUUGACACUGAACAUUGAGCCUUGAUGUGUAGGAUAGGUGGGAGGCUUUGAAGUGUGGACGCCAGUCUGCAUGGAGCCGACCUUGAAAUACCACCCUUUAAUGUUUGAUGUUCUAACGUGGACCCGUAAUCCGGGUUGCGGACAGUGUCUGGUGGGUAGUUUGACUGGGGCGGUCUCCUCCUAAAGAGUAACGGAGGAGCACGAAGGUUGGCUAAUCCUGGUCGGACAUCAGGAGGUUAGUGCAAUGGCAUAAGCCAGCUUGACUGCGAGCGUGACGGCGCGAGCAGGUGCGAAAGCAGGGCAUAGUGAUCCGGUGGUUCUGAAUGGAAGGGCCAUCGCUCAACGGAUAAAAGGUACUCCGGGGAUAACAGGCUGAUACCGCCCAAGAGUUCAUAUCGACGGCGGUGUUUGGCACCUCGAUGUCGGCUCAUCACAUCCUGGGGCUGAAGUAGGUCCCAAGGGUAUGGCUGUUCGCCAUUUAAAGUGGUACGCGAGCUGGGUUUAGAACGUCGUGAGACAGUUCGGUCCCUAUCUGCCGUGGGCGCUGGAGAACUGAGGGGGGCUGCUCCUAGUACGAGAGGACCGGAGGGGACGCAUCACUGGUGUUCGGGUUGUCAUGCCAAUGGCACUGCCCGGUAGCUAAAUGCGGAAGAGAUAAGUGCUGAAAGCAUCUAAGCACGAAACUUGCCCCGAGAUGAGUUCUCCCUGAGACUUAGAGUCUCCUGAAGGAACGUUGAAGACGACGACGUUGAUAGGCCGGGUGUGUAAGCGCAGCGAUGCGUUGAGCUAACCGGUACUAAUGAACCGUGAGGCUUAACCUU
This 2988-nucleotide ribosomal RNA is filed under the name Salmonella enterica subsp. enterica serovar Typhimurium str. DT104. Its description in RNAcentral is "bacterial LSU rRNA". It matches the Rfam family "Bacterial large subunit ribosomal RNA". The record is from RNAcentral. Lineage: Bacteria; Pseudomonadati; Pseudomonadota; Gammaproteobacteria; Enterobacterales; Enterobacteriaceae.